RNAcentral lists this transfer RNA (68 nucleotides) under Profundiconus teramachii. RNAcentral's name for it is "tRNA-Glu". It matches the Rfam family "tRNA". From Rfam's summary of the family: Transfer RNA (tRNA) molecules are approximately 80 nucleotides in length. Lineage: Eukaryota; Metazoa; Mollusca; Gastropoda; Neogastropoda; Conidae. The record is from RNAcentral.
GUUUCUACGGUGUAGUUUAGCACAUUAGAUUUUCAUUCUAAAGGUGUAAAGUAAAUUUACUAGAAAUA